UUUUUUCUUUCUUUUUUUUUUUUUGUCUUUUUAGAGUUGUAUCCACAGCACAUGGAGGUUACCAGACUAGGGGUCUAAUCGGAGCUGCAGCCACUGGCCUAUACCAGAGCCACAGCAACGCGGGAUCUGAGCCGCGUCUGCAACCUACACCACAGCUCACGGCAACACAGUAUCCUUAACCCACUGAGUGAGGCCAGGGAUCGAACCUGCAACCUCGUGGUUCCCAGUUGGAUUCGUUAACCACUGAGCCAGGAUGGGAACUCCAGCAUGUCCAUUUUAAGAGCUAAGGGGGAAAAACCUUCAUACUGCUUGUGGCUCAGAAACCUGUGAGUUGUACUCCUUACACUGAUAUUUUAGUGGAAGACCAUGCAUCUCAGAAUCUCGAAUUCUUUGGGCUGGCUCCAAGCUUCUCAUUUUAAAAAGCUAAGUAAUGCACACAUGUAAUUGAGAUUAAUCAAUAGAAAAUGACACUGGACAGUAAACAAGGGAGGUCGCUCUUACCCAGUAACUCUGUUUCGGCUUUGGUUCCCCCUGAUUCCAACUCAUCUCAGGUUGGGUGCAGUUGGUUGGGUGUUGGUACCAAGGUACCCACCUCAACUGCAGCAACUCCCCUCCGGCAGGUGAGAAAUACCUGAGCCUCUUCUCUUGGUUAUCCAUCAGGCUAAAACUUUCCUACGCCAGAGCCACAGCACCUUGGGAUCCGAGCCUCGUCCGCAACCUACAUCACAGCUCACGGCAAUGCCGGAUCCUUAACCCACUGAGCAAGGUCAGGGAUCGAACCUGCAGCCUCAUCGUUCCUAGUGGGAUUCGUUAACCACUGCGCCACGACGGGAACUCCAGGCUAAAACUUUUUAUUUCACCUUGAAUACUUACUCUCAUCGACUUCUUCUGAGAUACAUUAACUGGGUCUCCACAGAAUGCAAACAUGAAUAUAAAAUAACUAACUUUUUUUUUUUUUAAUUUAUGAAGACUAAGUUUCUCAAAUAUUUUUCCUAGGAAACGAACUUACUCCUCAGCACACCUCCUAUAGGAAAUGAAAUGUGUGGAGGAGCCCAGACAGCUGAGCUCUCAUUUAGGGAAGUUAUUUACUUCUCAGAUUGGUGGUUUGGGGAACCAGUGGUACUGACUGGAAAGAAUUAAUUAAUGAUGAUCAUUCCAAUUCAGAAUAAGUGACACCCAUUCUAGUAGCAGACAUUAUUCUUACUAGCUGCCCAAACAGUCAUUGUUCUUAGUGCUUUUUUUCUUCAGCCGUGAGACUGGUCUAAAUAUUUUUUUGUAUUGCUGGAGUGGGGUUACUAAAAAUACACACACACAUGCAUUUUUUUUUUUUUUAGUGGCCACACUUGCAGCAAAUGGAAGUUCCCAGGCCAGGGGCUGAAUCUGAGCCACAGCUGCGGCCUAUGUUGCUGUGGCAACGCCAGGUCCUUCCAGCCACUGUGCCAGGCUGGAGAGUGAACCUGCGCCUUUGCUGUGAGCUGUGCCACUGUGGUGAGAUUCUUAACCCACUGUGCCACAGUGGGAACUCCACACCUGCAUUUUUAAAAUAACAGGAAAAGCAUAAAAGAAAAAUGGCCAGGGGAGUGUUUGCAUCUUAAUCCAGCUCCAGGGUCAGUUUAAUAUAUAGGGCUGAGCCUAAAAUAUACCAAGAAGCUGAUCAGGCCUGAGGGCCAACCUCCUGAUACCUGCCUUGGGGGACAAGCAGACUCUCUGGACAAAGCAACUGGGCAGCUGCUUGGCCCUCAAAGGGACCAUAGAAAGAUCUCACAAGAAGGUGCCUGAAAGGCCACAGAACACGGGGAACGUGACUGGAGCAUCACCCAGACGUUCAUUUAGUUGUGUACGUGCCGUGUGGCAGCCGAGAGUUACCCUGUACUAAUGUUCAAAAUAUUUAAUUGAAUUCAGAACAGUUGCCGAGUGAAGCACCGGGUCAGAGUCCUGAAGAUCCCCUGUGAGUUGUGGAGAGAGGGGUGUGUGUGUGUGAUCGAGGCAGGGGCACCGGACGGAGAGUGCCAGCUACAAGCACUAUAGACAUGUUUCGCUAUUUUAACCACUAGUACAGCUGAACCACGUGAACUGGUGCGGGUGUUGGCCCAUCCAGAUUCUCUCUGGGGCAGCAAGCCUCCGUGGCAUUCCAUAAACUGCCAGGCUAAACCCUAGCGGGGGGGAAUUAUUUUUAUUUUCAUUUUUUUUAGGGCUGCAUGUACAGCGUGUGGAGGUUCCCAGGCUAGGGGUCUAAUUGGAGCUGCAGCCUUCAGCCUAUGCCAGAGCUGAACACCACCAGAUCUUUAACCCACUGAGCAAGGCCAGGGAUCGAACCUGCAACCUCAUGGUUCCUAGUCGGAUUCAUUUCCGCUGUGCCACAACGGGAACUCUGAAAAUUCUUUAAUUUAUAGGCAGAAAGAGCAGAGCUGAAGAUAAAAGUGCUGAUGGUAACUCAGUUUUCAGAAAUACGUUCUACUUUAAUUAAUGGGCUCACAGAUCAUGGGACAAAGGCCCACAAUUCCCGAGAAAUCACGCGCAUAAAUGAAGAGAAUAGUGGUUCUUUGGUGGCACAGCGGGUGAAUGGCGCAGCAGGUUGAGGAUCUGAAGUUGUCUCUGCUGUGGCUCGGGUCACUGCCGUAGUGAGGGUUCGAUCCCUGGUCUGGGAACCCCCGUAUGCCAUGGGCGUGGCCAAAAAAAGGAAAAAGGAAACAGCUGGGAAGUGCAGAUCAUCUAUCCUGCCAAUGGCAGGUAGGUGAGCCCUGGGCUAAGAUUGUUCUUUGUGGGUUUUUUAGCAUUUAAGAACAAACGUCCUCUUCUAGCUAUCAGGCCCAUCUCUGAUGCUGGCCUUGGGUGUGCUGGGCCGUGAUGUCCUGUGAGCGGUGUCAAGCCCAGAUCCCAGACGGAUGAGUGUACGAUGUAUCCCCACCCAGUCUUCCCAAGGGUCGGGACCAGGGCGCCUUCAUCUUAUCUGCCAACUAUGUGUCUCUAAGCCUCGGUCAGCCUUUUGCCUCAUACUGUGUAACACACACACACACACACACACACUAUACAAUGAGAUAAAGCCAAAGAAGGGAAAUAACACUGAAUAUUAUAACCCUUUUCUUCAAAGGAGCCUGAAUUAGAGUAAGACUCCCCCUCCAACAAGGAUCAGAGUAGAGCCAAAAACUGGCCCAAGAGGGCUCUUUCCAUUUUUUGAACCCUUUAAAUUGCCCAUUGUUGAAAGGACAAAGGAAGGCCCUAUUUCAAAACCUGAAAAUGUAGAGUUUGUGAUGCUUCUAGCUAUUGCAACCACACUCCCUGCUGAGGAAACGCACCAGAAGGCUGGCCCUCGAGGUCACAUCAGAGUUUACCUCUGAGUGAGACUGAGGCAGUCGCCUUCCUCCAGCCGGUCCCUGGUGCUGGCAGGGCCACCAGAUAGAACAGAAGUCCGGGCUCCUCUCAGCCAGACCAGUUCACCUGGGCACUGGAACCUGUCCAUGACGCAGGUGUGGUGUGAGGUCCUCCUGGCUGUGGGCAGGUGAGGCAGAGGAUGCAGGUAGGCCCUUACCCCUGGGGAGCCCUCCUCUGUCCCUUGUUUCUACGAGGCAGAAUAAGACCUCCCACUUCAGGGCAAUGAACACAACACUAAACAGAUUAGCAAACAGGUAUCGUUUCGGCAGCAGCAGAUGAAGAACGGGAAAGAAACAGUGCUGUGUGUCUUUCAGGAUAAAAUAAUAAUGAGAAAAAUAAACGACAGCUUUCUGCA
This 3727-nucleotide long non-coding RNA is filed under the name Sus scrofa (pig). RNAcentral's name for it is "lncRNA (ENSSSCG00040053687.1)". The record is from RNAcentral. Lineage: Eukaryota; Metazoa; Chordata; Mammalia; Artiodactyla; Suidae.